AAGUCGUAACAAGGUUUCCGUAGGUGAACCUGCGGAAGGAUCAUUACCUAGAGUUGUAGGCUUUGCCUGCUAUCUCUUACCCAUGUCUUUUGAGUACCUUCGUUUCCUCGGCGGGUUCGCCCGCCGAUUGGACAAUUUAAACCAUUUGCAGUUGCGAUCAGCGUCUGAAAAAAUCUAAUAGUUACAA
RNAcentral lists this unclassified non-coding RNA (187 nucleotides) under plant metagenome. RNAcentral's name for it is "partial contains small subunit ribosomal RNA and internal transcribed spacer 1". The stretch from base 1 to 46 matches the Rfam family "Eukaryotic small subunit ribosomal RNA", at positions 1786 to 1831 of the family's 1831-position model. The record is from RNAcentral.